Molecule: transfer RNA, 300 nt
Filed under: Tunturiibacter empetritectus
Lineage: Bacteria; Pseudomonadati; Acidobacteriota; Terriglobia; Terriglobales; Acidobacteriaceae
Description: Tunturibacter empetritectus tRNA-Ile
Source: RNAcentral
GCGGGCGUGGUGAAAUCGGCAGACACAGCGGACUUAUGUAAUUGAGUGCCCGUCGGGAAACCGGCGGAGUAGAACUGCUCAAAGUCGGGGAAACCUUAUCCGGCAAUCCCGAGCCAAGCCCGGAGUCACUUCUGGGAAGGUGUAGAGACUAGACGGGCAGCACCUAAACCUCAUAUGGGGAAUGGUGAAGGGAUAGUCCAGACCACGAACUCGCUUAUCGGGGCGGCGAAAGCCGAAGUGGUAUGAAAAUCCGCAGACCCUUAUCAGGUCGUGGGGGUUCAAGUCCCCCCGCCCGCACCA